GCUUAUUGCGCGGCGAAAAACCUUACACACAGUGUUUUUUGUUAUUACAAGAACUUUUGCUUUGGUCUGGACUAGAAAUAGUUUGGGCCAGAGGUUUACUGAACUAAACUUCAAUAUUUAUAUUGAAUUGUUAUUUAUUUAAUUGUCAAUUUGUUGAUUAAAUUCAAAAAAUCUUCAAAACUUUCAACAACGGAUCUCUUGGUUCUCGCAUCGAUGAAGAACGCAGCGAAAUGCGAUAAGUAAUAUGAAUUGCAGAUUUUCGUGAAUCAUCGAAUCUUUGAACGCACAUUGCGCCCUCUGGUAUUCCAGAGGGCAUGCCUGUUUGAGCGUCAUUUCUCUCUCAAACCUUCGGGUUUGGUAUUGAGUGAUACUCUUAGUCGAACUAGGCGUUUGCUUGAAAUGUAUUGGCAUGAGUGGUACUGGAUAGUGCUAUAUGACUUUCAAUGUAUUAGGUUUAUCCAACUCGUUGAAUAGUUUAAUGGUAUAUUUCUCGGUAUUCUAGGCUCGGCCUUACAAUAUAACAAACAAGUUUGACCUCAAAUCAGGUAGGACUACCCGCUGAACUUAAGCAUAUCA
Molecule: ribosomal RNA, 576 nt
Filed under: Debaryomyces sp. ApTucson-A44
Lineage: Eukaryota; Fungi; Ascomycota; Pichiomycetes; Serinales; Debaryomycetaceae
Description: eukaryotic LSU rRNA
Rfam family: 5.8S ribosomal RNA (bases 179-332)
Source: RNAcentral